CACACCGCCCGUCACGUACAUGAAAGUUGGAGACGCCUGAAGUCGGUCAGCCAACCCUUCGGGGAGGCAGCCGCCGAGGGUGGUGCCAGCGAUUGGGACG
Molecule: ribosomal RNA, 100 nt
Filed under: uncultured bacterium
Lineage: Bacteria
Description: partial 16S ribosomal RNA
Source: RNAcentral